This 67-nucleotide transfer RNA is filed under the name Opilio parietinus. RNAcentral's name for it is "tRNA-Asp". The record is from RNAcentral. Lineage: Eukaryota; Metazoa; Arthropoda; Arachnida; Opiliones; Phalangiidae.
AAGAUAAUAGUUAAAUAAAUAACAAUAUUAUGUCAAAAUAUAAUUGCCCCUAAUUAAGCUUUUCUUA